This 253-nucleotide ribosomal RNA is filed under the name uncultured bacterium. RNAcentral describes it as "partial 16S ribosomal RNA". It matches the Rfam family "Bacterial small subunit ribosomal RNA", at positions 524 to 776 of the family's 1533-position model. The record is from RNAcentral.
UACGUAGGGGGCAAGCGUUGUCCGGAUUUACUGGGUGUAAAGGGUGCUCAGGCGGAUUCGUAAGUCAGUGGUGAAAUCCCGGAGCUUAACUCCGGAACUGCCAUUGAUACUGCGAGUCUCGAGUUUGGGAGAGGUAGAUGGAAUAUCUGGUGUAGCAGUGAAAUGCGUAGAUAUCAGAUAGAACACCAAUGGCGAAGGCAGUCUACUGGUCCAACACUGACGCUAAAGCACGAAAGUGUGGGUAGCAAACAGG